RNAcentral lists this long non-coding RNA (2314 nucleotides) under Brassica rapa (field mustard). Its description in RNAcentral is "long non-coding RNA (BRAP_LNC001673)". The record is from RNAcentral. Lineage: Eukaryota; Viridiplantae; Streptophyta; Magnoliopsida; Brassicales; Brassicaceae.
UUAAAACAAUCAAUUAUUUCAAAAAUAAAUAAAUAAAUACUUAAAAAAUAUUGUCCUUCUUUUUUUUUUUUUUUUUCCAUCUGGUAUUAUUAAAACGGACCGAAGCCCAAACACAAAAACAAACAGCCUAUAGAAAGGCUCCAAACACAAAAUCCAAACAAAAUUAACCCUAAAAGCCCACAUACUGGCCCAAUCUACAAUGACCCAAACCAACACGUGCCACCGCUUUGUCUCUCCCAAGAAGAGACGUGUAGAAGCCUCACCAGCGAGGCACGACACGCGUCACGAAAUCUUUAGCCACCACCGCCAAAAGAAACACGCCGGAAACUGAACGGCGUUUCACCGGACCUCUCCGGAAACUGAACGGCGUUUCACCAGUCUACGCCGGGAGCAAGCGCUUACCCAAACUCACCACUUCAUCUUUGCUUCUUUUCACCGGAGAGCGUCAACGAGGAGUCGAGACCUCAUCCAAAAGCGAAGCCAUCACCCAACCGAUUAGAAAUCUCUCCCUCACCCUUUAUGCACCAUCACCGCUUUAAUUCAGAUAAUCAGAGAGCAUCAACCAAACAAAUCGAGAGCUCAUCCGUCCCAUGAAGCACGAAAUCAACCGAAACACCACUCGAGAACCAGAGAAAACAACAAGAACCGCCAUCGAAACGCGAGAACCGUACGACGCGGAGAAGAAGCCGGCGAGACAGAUUCAAAAGGAAUCACCUUUUCCCGGAAACAAAUCCGGCGAAGCCUAACAACGGCUUCCCAAAAGCACAACCAACAAAACGGAAGCGAUGAACCGAUAGAGCAUCAGAGAAAGCUUCAUCUCAUCUCAGAGAGGAGAGAGAGAGAAGUCCCGAUCUCCUUUCGUCACCAUUUUCCACCUUCUAUUAGUUAAUUCAAACAACUCUAAAAAAUAUUGCAGAAAUAUUACAUCUAUAAUUUCAAUGUUAUUUGUGUGGAGGAUAAUUAAAGUACACGUGGACCAAUAAUAGGUGAGAUGUCGCUUGUCAAUAAAAACGGGCCCACUGGACCUCAUCUCAAUUGUGAAAUUACGGAUGUUUCAGACGUCGAUAUCUUGACACGUCACCGACGUCCCUUAAUUUUCAUUCACUUGAUCUGAAACUACGAGAAUAGACAAAAAAAUGCCAGAUAUUUACGAGUUACGUACAUUGUAUACUUUUUUUUUUAUCAUCUGUAUUAUAAUAAUAAACAACAUUACAAAAGGCCCAUAAAAGAGACCCAAAACAUUACAGCAAAGCCUCAAAGAUGGGCAACAACAACAAAGAGACCAAACUCGGUCCAACCAGGCCCAGACAAAAAAAAACCAAAAGAAGACACCUUCCACUUUCUCGCCACGCGAAACUGAAUAGCGUGAAAAAGACAACACGUGGUAAAAGGGAACGCACGUGUCAAAAGAGUGGCCAUCGAUUUCAGAAGAAGAAAGUCAUCACCGGAACGACUUCCGGACGGCCACCGGAACACACCGGAAACAGGACGCCGCAGAAGAAGUAACCGUCGGAUGACUUCAGCUGAUUAAGAACCACACCACUAGACGACUUCACCGAUAAAAACGUCUUCGAUAAUUUCCAAUCGUGUUCCACCGGAGACAAACCGGAACAGGAACCCAAUUAAAGAGAUCGCCGGAAACGAGAAUAGCAAUUAAGGGAGCAGUCGCCAAAACGCCUUAACCAUUAACACCAGAUCUCGGAGAAGAAGAUAGAUCGUCGGAAUCGAAGCCAGCGGUCAUCGAUAGGAAGAUGCUCCGCCGGAGUCAGAAGCCGGAUUGCUCCGUCUAAGGAAGACGCAAACAACCGGAGCCAAAAGCCGACCAACAGUGCUAAGGGAGUCACCAGAUGUCGGAACUGGAUCUUCGUCGCUGGCCAAAGGAAGCCGGAGAAGAUCAACGGAGGCUAGCAGCCACCACGAGAAGUGAUGACUCUAGAGACGGAAGCCGGACAAAUCGAUUCUGUAGUAGCCACCGUUUGCCGGAGUCAAAGCCCGACCAUGCGGGAAUCUGAAGCCGGAACAUAACCGGCUUUCGAAAGUCGGACUCUCUCUCUGAAAAAUAGAGAUGAGAGAAGAGAGAGAGCCCUCUUUUUACGUACAUUGUAUACUUAUCAUGUUAUGUGCUACUACUUAUAAUUUUCAUAAUACGAACAAAAUGAUAAUGCAACAUCCAACAAACUAGAAUACUAGAUAAUAGUAUAAUAUAUCAUAGAAAUAAAGUAUUUGUAAUUGGUAAAUAUGCCGAACGAUUAUCUGAUUAUAGCAACGGCAAAAAAAAAAAAAAUUCUGAUCAUAACAAAACACGUGGGGUCGC